GGGUGAUCGGCCACACUGGAACUGAGACACGGUCCAGACUCCUACGGGAGGCAGCAGUAGGGAAUCUUCCGCAAUGGGCGAAAGCCUGACGGAGCAACGCCGCGUGAGUGAUGAAGGUCUUCGGAUCGUAAAACUCUGUUAUUAGGGAAGAACAUAUGUGUAAGUAACUGUGCACAUCUUGACGGUACCUAAUCAGAAAGCCACGGCUAACUACGUGCCAGCAGCCGCGGUAAUACGUAGGUGGCAAGCGUUAUCCGGAAUUAUUGGGCGUAAAGCGCGCGUAGGCGGUUUUUUAAGUCUGAUGUGAAAGCCCACGGCUCAACCGUGGAGGGUCAUUGGAAACUGGAAAACUUGAGUGCAGAAGAGGAAAGUGGAAUUCCAUGUGUAGCGGUGAAAUGCGCAGAGAUAUGGAGGAACACCAGUGGCGAAGGCGACUUUCUGGUCUGUAACUGACGCUGAUGUGCGAAAGCGUGGGGAUCAA
This 481-nucleotide ribosomal RNA is filed under the name Staphylococcus aureus. Its description in RNAcentral is "bacterial SSU rRNA". It matches the Rfam family "Bacterial small subunit ribosomal RNA", at positions 298 to 771 of the family's 1533-position model. Lineage: Bacteria; Bacillati; Bacillota; Bacilli; Caryophanales; Staphylococcaceae. The record is from RNAcentral.